This is a long non-coding RNA of Arachis stenosperma, 583 nucleotides long. RefSeq lists it as uncharacterized. The record is from RefSeq and is a predicted model, not a curated record. The transcript has 3 exons. Lineage: Eukaryota; Viridiplantae; Streptophyta; Magnoliopsida; Fabales; Fabaceae.
AAAAAUUAAUCAAAUUAAAGCUAAUUAAAAUUGUUUAAUUUGGUUUGAAUUUUAUUUGUCCCCAAGCUGACUACUGACCCAACCCUCUAGCGGCCUCUACAGCCUUAUAAAUAUACAAAAUUUAAGAAGCUAAGUAAGAAACUAAGAAAAUGAGAAAUUAAAUCCAAAGUGCAAGCGAAGUUUGAUUUGGGCAACCAUUUUUUUAUACAAGGAUGACAUCAGUUAAAAUAGAGCAGUGAUUGGAGAAGACCCAAAAGAAGAAAAAGCUGUCCAAAUGGAACCUACCAUAUAUGAGGUCUUAACCUGUUGGUCAACCAGACAGCUACGUUUUCACUUUCUAAAUCUAGGACAAACUCAUUCUGGUGUGAGAAUGGUGGAGCUUGUGACUUGAGAAGAUAGUUCAAGGAGAGAAUUAUUCAACUAUUCAUGCAUGUACGAACCUGGAUUUGGUGGAGACCACGGUAAACAUUAUGCAUCACCAUGUUGCUACAUUUUCUGUUUUCAUAGUGCUUUGGAAAGGGAGUGAUGAUUGCUCUCUUCCAACAACAACGUCACAUGCUUCUCUCAUCUCUCACUUUUUAGU